Molecule: long non-coding RNA, 2109 nt
Organism: Amphiprion ocellaris (clown anemonefish)
Lineage: Eukaryota; Metazoa; Chordata; Actinopteri; Pomacentridae
Source: Ensembl
AUAUAUAUAUAUAUAUAUAUAUAUAUAUAUAUAUAUAUAUAUAUAUAUAUAUAUAUAGACAUAUAUUAAUUUAAACUAAUUACGAACAACUGAAUGAGUAUUUGUGCUUAGUAUGUAUACUACUAAAAAGUGAGAGAAUGUGCUGGUUUACAUAUUAAAAAAGAAAAUAUAAUAUAUGAAUAUAUAAUGUGUAUAUAGCACUAUGCCUCAUUGUAAACAUAAAAUGUAUUGUGUGUUUAUUUUUUUUUUUUUUAAAGGUGGCGGGUCACAGUUAAUCAGACAGGAGAUGGUCAGGUCGGUUUUGUUCCAGUGAGUUCAUGUUUGUUCAGUACAGGGAGGAAAUGAAGGGAAAUAACUACACAAAGUCCAAAACUGUUAUAAAAGAAAGACAAAAAAAUAUCCCUUUAGACUAUCACACUAGAAGGUUCUAUUUCUUUGUCGUUUUUAAAAUGACUAAUCUUGAUUCUUUUUCUCCUGUUUUCUUAAAAAGCAAUUUGAGAUGCAAUACGUAAUAAUCUUAUCAUUAAGACAGCCUUUCAGAAAAACUGAGGUAAUAAUGUACAGCGUGUGGUCGGUUGUUGAGCUAUAACACGGCCAAUCUUUGAGCUGCGGAUUCAAUAGGCUACUGUACUAUAUGUAGACUGCUGUUAAACGAAACAAAAAAUGAUUUAAAAAAGUUUCAGGCAAGAAUGUGGUCAGUGGCGUCGUAAACACGUAUACAAAACAAGUUGUACUAAUAUAAUCUUGCACAAAUAACGUCCCAAGUAGUGAAAUAUCUUCACAAUAUUUUUCUCCUCGUUGAAAGCUGUUGUAACUAAGUUAUUACCACAUUUUGAUGGUGCACAGGUUCGCUCAAAUGGAAGUUGCUUUGGACACUUGUGUUACAAUAACAGCCAGUGACUAUACAUGUAUGACUCUGGUAAAGGAAUGUGCAAUGGAGGAAAGGAAGGAAGAAAAAAAGAGAGUUGUCACUGGUUUGACCCCAUUAAAUCUCUUCAGACUAGUUGAUACAGUUGAGGUCGACACUGUAGAAAUCUCACUGCUGCGUCUUCCCCAGACAGUAAAAAGGUGUGAAGGGGGUAUGGAAUUUGUCAAAUCAGUGUGCACAGUUUUUAGUUUUUUACACUGAUGACCAAAAUGUGAUGCCUUUAGUUCAGUUCCUGAUUGUUAUGUUGGUUGUGAAGGAGGAGCUUACACUGUUUCUGCUUAUAAUCCAGAAUUCAGGCUUGUUCGAGGAAACCUGGAGACUGCAGUUUGUGCUGGGAUUUCUACAGUGGCUGCCGCUGAGCCUGUGAGGGUACCUCCAUUGUUCUAGAGUUUGGAAAACAAUGUAUCUGUCAGCUAACUGCACCAUGAAAUGAACCCUCUACGAGGACAGGAGCACUCGCGAUACCUACAACCUACAUCAACAUCUACAGUUUGUACGAUAAAACAGAAAGUAACGGGCGAUGUGUUAAACCUGAUGGCAACAGUGAUGUCAAAUACUCAGUAGGGACUGUAAACCGUCAAAAUCUGCUAAAUGCAAAGUGGGUGUUUUGUUUUUUUGGUGGAAGAAAAUGUUUUGACAUAAAGGGCAUACAUUGUUUUAUUGUUGUUUUUCAUUACUAUUGAUUUCAUUGUCUAUUUACAUCUAAUGACUAUCAAAUUCACAAAUGAUUUUUUUCUUUUUUUAACUUAGUUUUUGGUAAAAACAAAAAAAAGGUAAAUACUGCUAGUGAGAUUUUAUAUUUUUACAUAUGUUGGUUUUAUUUUGCGUUUCUUCUUUUUUUAUUUAUACGCCACUUAGUUUGGAUGUCUUUAAAUGGUGUUUUUUUUCUUUUCUUUGUUUUGUGUGAUUUCAUAUGUCUUGAGAAUGUGGAGACAAAGGCAUUUCAGUAUUUUUGAAUUGUUAAAAUCUAGUUUCAUAGAAGCGGAAGUAUCUGAUGUUAUAAAUUAUAUUUUAAUUCAUGUAAAUAGUUUAAAACAGAAGACUAUGGCUUCCUUUUAAACUGAAUACAUUUCUCUUCAGAGAUUGUUUACAUUAUGAAACUGUAGAGAUGUGCUCCUCAUAUACUGUAUAAAGUACAUAUAUUCAUUGAUUUGCCUCCAAAAAAUAAAACCCUAAUGAAC